This 558-nucleotide long non-coding RNA is filed under the name Androctonus crassicauda. Lineage: Eukaryota; Metazoa; Arthropoda; Arachnida; Scorpiones; Buthidae. The record is from RNAcentral.
UAUUACAAUAAUUAUUAGCAAUAAUUUUGUUAAUAUUUUAUAAUAUUGUUAAGGAACAAUAAUGAAUAAAAUUUUCCUUUUUGUUAAUUGUAUUUAUCGCGAAAUGGCUGUAUGGACAAGUGUGCGCAACGCGUUGUGGCAUGUUCAUGUUUCCAAGAUGCGUUUUGGUCGAUUAUUGAAGGAACCACAACACAAAUUUCGCUUUGUGGCCUUUUUGAGUAUGGUAAAACGCGUUGUGAGCUCUUUUGAAAGUGGCACGACACAAAUUUUGCGUUGUGGUUAAAUCAGAAAAGUUAGAACGCGAUGUGGUCAUUUUUUUGCUCAAAGAGCGUUUUCGGUUGUUGAGCCUAACAUAUAUACAAAAGUGAAAGAGUGGAUACAGUAUUUAAAAAGUUAGUGCUUGCUUAAUUUAUUACUGCUUGAAAUAAGACCCUAAACUCGUUUGCUUUGUCUUUUCAAUAGCCUUUCGCUGAAUGGUGCUACAUAAAUUUCUGAGGAUUAAUUUUUCCAUGCAGUUACUGUUUUCUUGGUGUUCUGAGUAAUCAGGAAGAGCUUUGC